UUCCUCAUAAAAAUCUUCGAUUUUCCCAGCUACUGCCACGCUCUGCUCCGGCUGCCUAGGAACCGGCGUCAAUGAGCCCGCAGGCGCUGGAUCCUGACCACCACCAACAAUCUAAAGGUCGAUGAGGCCUGGAGGCGUAGGAUUUGCGAGCGUGGAAGACGACGGCGGCGGCGAUGAGACAGCUCCACUAGGAAUACAACGGCGGUGGCUUCUUUGUUGUUUCUGUGGUGGAAGACCCACGCCUACGACACCGCGGCAGGGGGGAAAUCCCCUGCUCCCCCGCUCCCUCGCCGCAGCUGCCUCCUGCUCCGCCAACGCCACCGCGGCGGACGAUGAGAUGCCCUGCUGGCUCCCAACGGCGAUGUCAACCUCGACGGCGCGAGCUUCUGCUCGGGGGACGGCGUGGUUCAGCGACGACGAGAUCUUCCUCACCAAAUCGCCGACCAAAUCGUCGAGGAGAGCAAGUUCCUCAUCCACCGCACCGCCACCUCCUCUGCUCUCGUCCUUCCAGGUUCGGUUGGGUUCAGUUCGUGCAGGAGCAGGAGCACGCAGAAUCCUCCAAAUUGUCGCUUCCUAGAAGCUCAAGAUGGUGUUGUUCCCAAUUUGUGCAGGUCAGGAGAGCAGCAACGCACACGCAGCGCAGAUUUGUGCGUCUUCUCCAUGCAAUCUUGUUUACUUAAUCUUCAGCCUGGGCCAUCUCUGUCACCAACGCCUACAACCUGGGAACAUGAGCUCUGGCGGCAACACAAAGAAUUCAGUAAACACUAUUUUUGCAGAAUUGUUUUUUUUAGGAAUUAGUGACAGUGGGAGAGGCUCCCACUGACUUUGUAUUACUCACAACAUAACAGUUACAAGUGUGUUACAAUGGGUUUUAGGCCCCCCGGCCGUAAGGGUUGCAGAAACAAAAACUAGCGGUCCAAACUUACAAUGAAAUCAGAGAGAAAAGGAUACUUUUUUUUUUUUGCAGAAUUGUUGUUGUCAGUUAACUGAAACUACAGCACAUUCCAAUCAAUUGGCUGCAGUAAAGAACUGAAGAGAUGUUAGUUUUUCCCACAUUUUGGAAAGAACCAUGCACAAAGGAAACAAACACUUCAUCUGAUGGUGUACCUUCUUAAGCUAGCAGUACUCUGAUGGAGUACCUUCUUCAGAGGGCAAAUAGCACCAGCAGCAGCAGUCACGGCGGCAGUCAACAGCAACAACAGAGGAGCAGUAGCAUCAACACGAAUCAGCAACAGCAGCACAGGCAGAGGAGCAGUAGCAUCAACACGGGAAGAGGAGCAGGAGCAGCACGGGAGCUCCACCGGCGGCAGGGGAGAAACAGAGGAGAAACAAGAUGCAGCAGCACGGGCUAGCACCACAGGCGGGCACGCAGGCAGAGAAGGAGCACCACGGCGGC
Triticum dicoccoides is the source of this 1396-nucleotide long non-coding RNA. RefSeq lists it as uncharacterized. The record is from RefSeq and is a predicted model, not a curated record. The transcript has 3 exons. Lineage: Eukaryota; Viridiplantae; Streptophyta; Magnoliopsida; Poales; Poaceae.